AUCACCACAGAGCCAAGUAAUAGACUGAAUGAAUGAAUGACCCUUCAGCUUAAGUAGGCCAGUACUCCAUGUUUCCCUGCUAAUUAUUCAAGUUUAGGACAUGAUGCCCCAUUUCAUGCAAAAUUUAGCAGAAUAUAUCAGGAAAAUGAGCCCUACAACAUGAAGCUCCUACAGCAGUAGUGGAAGGCUUAGCGUGGUCAUUAAGGUCUAGUUUACCCAUCUUCUCUCUGAAUGCUGCAGAUCAACACCCACUACUGCAGGUCAACCCACACUCCCUGCCCUCACACACCAAACCAACCCAUCUUGUACGCAUCUUCAAAUGGUGUGACAGCUUUGUGGCCCGUUGGUUAGGCUGAACUACAUUUCCCAGAAUCCCCUUCUCUCGCAUGUUUCCUGUUAACCGUGGUAUUCUCCCAGGAGAGCUGGAAGGCAAAAGGGAGCCAGCAACUAUUUUGUCACACAUACAUUGUUGCCAAUCUGCCGACUUGCCUCUGUGACAUGAAACAAUUGCUCUCUUCUCCCUCGGAAUUUUCCCUCCAUUUCUCUGGCUCCUGGGCCAGGUAUGUGUGUGCUCAGCUCAUGAGGAAGGACUCCGGCUCCUGCAGGAAACCCUCAUCACCAAGGUCAGAGGCAACAAGAACAGACAUGGGGUUCAAUUCAUCCUCACAGGAUUCCAGCUUACACACAUGGGGUUCUAGCCUGCUUGUGCUUUUCCCUUUCAGAUCACCUGCCUGGGGACUUCAAGCUCUAGCAUCAGACUAAGAGCCAGCCCUGUGGAGACUGCUUAGCCAAGGGAGGAGAAACUGUCAUGGAUUGAAAGAGAUAUAAGAGCUGGAUCAACUGAAUGCAAAGUGAAGACAUUAUUUGAAAUCUGGUUGGAAGAACCUAACCAAAAGAACACCAUUUUGAGACAACCAUGGAACAUAAAGCAUGAAAGAAGUAUUCUAUGAUAUUAAGCAAUGAUUAUUAUUUUUGUUGUGAUGAUGAUAUUGUGGUUAUUUUUUAAUCCUUGUCUAUUGGAGAUACAAACGGAUGUAUUUACAGGCG
This 1047-nucleotide long non-coding RNA is filed under the name Equus asinus (donkey). RNAcentral's name for it is "lncRNA (ENSEASG00005030703.1)". Lineage: Eukaryota; Metazoa; Chordata; Mammalia; Perissodactyla; Equidae. The record is from RNAcentral.